AUUGAACGCUGGCGGCAGGCCUAACACAUGCAAGUCGAGCGGUAGCACAGGGAGCUUGCUCCUGGGUGACGAGCGGCGGACGGGUGAGUAAUGUCUGGGAAACUGCCUGAUGGAGGGGGAUAACUACUGGAAACGGUAGCUAAUACCGCAUAACGUCGCAAGACCAAAGAGGGGGACCUUCGGGCCUCUUGCCAUCAGAUGUGCCCAGAUGGGAUUAGCUAUUAGGUGGGGUAACGGCUCACCUAGGCGACGACCCCUAGCUGGUCUGAAAGGAUGACCAGCCACACUGGACCUGAGACACGGUCCAGACUCCUACGGGAGGCAGCAGUGGGGAAUAUUGCACAAUGGGCGCAAGCCUGAUGCAGCCAUGCCGCGUGUAUGAAGAAGGCCUUCGGGUUGUAAAGUACUUUCAGCGGGGAGGAAGGUGUUGAGGUUAAUAACCUCAGCAAUUGACGUUACCCGCAGAAGAAGCACCGGCUAACUCCGUGCCAGCAGCCGCGGUAA
Molecule: ribosomal RNA, 504 nt
Filed under: uncultured bacterium
Lineage: Bacteria
Description: partial 16S ribosomal RNA
Rfam family: Bacterial small subunit ribosomal RNA
Source: RNAcentral